UUUGGUAUAGAUGACAGCAGUUGUGAUGGCCUAUCAUGAUUUUGAUGAUUUUUCACGGACGCCGUCAGCUUCUCUGCAAAAUUCAGCUCCUGCUGCCUGAGGUUGAUGACGACAAUGACAACCUAUCAGGAUCUUGACGAUGUGUCAUGAAGGUCGCCAUAAAACUUCCUGCAACUCACCUUUUGUGUUUAAGUUUGACGGCAUCCUUGACAGCCUAUCACCAGGCAGACGAUGUGUCAUGUAUGUCGUCAGCCACACUUAGCUCUUUAUUUUCUUCCAAUUUUAUACUUUUUGCUUCAUUUAUUUGUGGUUCUCCUUCUUCUCUACUUUUACUGCAAAACCAAAGUAAACUAAUCAAAAAUAACUAAAGUUGCUCAAGACUUUGCAAUUAUUUAGAGUUAAAAGCUUCAAAUGUGUUAGCGUGGGCUCACACAUCAACACCCCCAACAUAAACAUUUGCUUUUCCUCCAGUAACCUUAACAUAACUAAGAGUAUACAAAGUACAAUUUGGCGGUUAACUACUCAUAUCAGUUCAGAAUACAUCUACCAUCUCCAAGGUCAGUCAAAGUAAGAGCAACUGUGUCUAUUAUUGAAAACACCCAUGAAACUCACAAGGAUCAAGAUAUGGCAAAAAUUUCAGCAAUAACAACCAAGAACAUACCCAAAUCACACUAUCCGAAUAAGACAGUGAUCAGCAACAUACCUAGUGUACCCUCACAACAAAGAAAUCUUUUUUUCACUCAUAUUAGAAUUUAUACACACAGGGAUAAACACGAGACUCACUCUCAGAACGAAGUUCCACUAUUGCGCAUCAAAUGCCAUAGGCUUGCCCUUAUAGUCUGUACCUAAGUCUUCAAAUAGGUUAGUUAGGAUCACUAUAGGGUUUUUCUUAAGCUUGUAAUGUAGGCUAGUGGCUGGUAUGAUAUUCAUGGAUAUUUUAAAGUGACUAAGCCUCCUUGACACUACAUUAGAUCCUAGGGGUUUCAACUCUUAACCUUCUUUUCUUACCUCUUUUAUUGAUCAUGCAUGCUCAAUAUGGAUGCGGUCUUUUCAAUUAACUUAUUAUCUUUUUAUCAUUUUUCACACAAUUUUCUCUUUUCUUAUUUCUUUUUCACUGCACCCAACUCUUUAUUCAUCCUUCUCAUUCUACCUCUCUUCAUACACAGAUUGCAUCACGCACCCCUAUAAUAGCCACCCUCAACUUAGAUUAUUUGCCUAAGUCAAGGUGCACAGUGUCCAAGAAGGACCAAGGCCAAGACAGUUUCAUUGUGAUGUAAAUGGGAAGGUGAAAGGUGCACAAGAAAUAAAUAGGCUAUUUAGGCUCAAAGAAGGAGAAAAGGAUAUUAUUCACAUUGGGAAGGUCAUUUAGGCUAACGUGGGCUAGCAUGCAAAAACAGCCUAUUAUCCUUUCCUAAUGCCUAUCUAAUGACCAUGGCACGACUAACUGGGCAAGUUCUAGAUUCAAAUCAUAACAGGAACUGAGCAAGACCUUACACACAUAUAGAACACAAGUAUCUUACAUAUCACUACUCAUCUAGUUCAAGCAUUUGCUUAACACUGGGCAUUCAUUUACCAUACUAAUGCCACAAAAAGAUACAUAGUGGUCACAAUGGAUGAAAUUCACACAGUACACAAUUGAUCAGACCAGUGGAGAAGUACUCAUAAAUCACAAAAUAAGACAACUACCUCAAGUACUUGUACUACUCCUAAUUAUCUACAGAUUAUGUUACAACAACAAUUUACCCUAAACCCGUAACUAUAAUUAAAAAUAAAAAGCACUAACGGUUAGGGUAUACCUAAAGACAAUCAAGCAUGUGGAUCUUAGGUCUUCGACCCUGCUACUGUAUGAUCUGUUGUCUUCUCCCCAUUAGGAGCAUUUGGCCUGGCGGCGGUCGGAGCCUGACUAGAUGAAGCACCUGCAGCCCUAGCUCGAAUGGUUGUUUCCCAUUUCUCAUUACUAGCCAUAGACUCCAAUCUUGCCUUUCUCAACUCUUCUUUUUUAGCCUUCUAAUUUUCCUUCUUCUGUGCUUUUCUUUCUUUUUCACAAUCUGGCUCUUCUCUCUUAUUUUUGCCUUUUUUCCCCCUUUUUCUUCUUCUUCUUUGGGGAGUCUGCAGUGAGAUAAAGUAUAGGAAUUUCUUCCUCUAAUUCUUUCACAGUCGGACCUAUUGGCAUCUUAUUUGUUCUUGCUGCAGUACCCUAACCUUAGCCUUAACCUUAUCUAAUGCAGCCCUGAAUGUAGAAAAAUCAGCACCUAUCAUCUCUUUUUCCUGGGCAUCAAAUUUGUUCUCCAAAUCUGCAACUCACACAGGCAAUCUCACAAAAGGCUCUAGUGCAGCCUUGAUUCUUUUGUCCACAACAGCAGCAAACUGUUUGGCGAAGGCAGGUAGUUGGGCCUCACACCACUUGGCUUGCUUAGCCACCUUCCUGAUAUCAAUAGGAUAAAAUGCCAAACCUAUUACUGCUGGAGAAACUAAGAGAUUGGUAUCAGUCUCAGGCACUGAAGCUGCCUAUGCUGAAGAAUCCUGUGCAUCGACCUGAGGUGAUGCUCCUGCAUCUAUAACUAGUGGUUCUACUUCUACCUCUGCCCCCUCUUAUGUCUAAGUCCUAGCUGAAUCUCAUUAAACCAAAUGGGGUUGCGAGUCUUCUGGACACAAACGUCUUCGCCAACUCCAAAAAUCUUUUGCACCUCAGCAGCUCUGCACAACUUAUUAAUAAGACACGAAAAAGGAUAAACACUUUCGACCCUUGACAUCCUGAUCUUUACCUCAUCCAUAAUGAUUUCCCUAAAGUUCAAGGGAUGCUACGAAAAUAGCCCUGUCAUCGCCCAGAAUAUUGUCUCCCUCAGUAGGCAUUAGCCAAACUCGCACUAUGCCCCACCAAAAUUUUGCCUCCUGAGUCAAUGAGGACUUACAGAUUCUCUCAUUUGGUUUUGUAACCCAAGCCGGUUCUCCAUCAGUGAUUAUGUUGGCUAACAAAGGACACUGUUUGUCCUUAUUCUUUACCUGAGCAUAAAAUGAUGGUGUAGUGGCCAGAGGCAUGAAGUCGGAGCCAUGCAAGAAUCUAUUGAUGGUCUAGUCAAAACAUCAACGCUUACACCCCUCACCCAAAUACUCACUAGAAAAGAUUGAUCUACUACUUUUUCACCUGGUUUGUACAUAUUCUCCAACUAGGCUAGGUAAUUCGCAUAGAACUCCCAAACCAAUGUGGGCCAAAAUAAACCUCCCUUUUCUAUAGUCCAUCCUAAGCCGUAUUCUUUGACUUUCUUCUCCACUUUAGGGUAUCUGCUCAACCCUUUCAUGAUGAUUAUUUUUUCUUCUUGGAUUGGCCUCUUCGCGUUCCUUCUAUCAGUUCUUUACAACCCAGCAAUAUAGAUUUCUUUAGCUCUAGGGAAUUGCCAUCUAGCAUUGUUCCUCACUUCUGGCUUCUUACAUUUGAUAAGAGUCCUCUGAGGUGGAGACUCUUCAUCAUCUUAUUACUUAGUGGAUGGGGACCCGAAAGCUAUUCCUUCAAACUCAGAUUCUUCUUGAUCCUCCUCAUCAACUUUAGUAUGUUCAGACUCAUGUUGUUUAGACUCAACUUUUUCACACCCCUCUUGCUCAGAAGCUAUGUUUGACUUAGUAUCAUCACUUCCCUCUACCUCAAUUGGUGGAGGUGGUAGAGUUUUCUUUGGACUCUGCUUCUUCUUUAGCUUUCUGAGCAAGGGUUCCUCCUCGUCGUAGUCAGAUUCCUCGUUGAGGAUCUUAUGAUGUUUAUUAUCUUUAGCUACUUUCUUUGGUUCUAUGGAACUCUUUCUUUUUUUUUGCCAUUUAGACUACCUAGAGACAUUAGAAGAAUGAUAAUCAACCCUAAAGAUCACAAACACGAGUACAUUAAUAAUUUAAGCUCAUUUAUAUUUCAGGCCCUAGGUGUGACGACAAUUCAUGACAAGCCAUUACGACCGUGAUAGCUUAUCACGGUUGUCGUCAACCUUAGACAGAACCCAAAAGAAUUUUACACUUUCCGAUGACCUUCAUGAUAGACUGUCAUAAUUGUGAUAGCCCAUCACGACUGUCGUCGGCUCUAUCCACAACAAACUUUAGUUUUGUCAGCUUUUAACGAUAUUCUUGAUAAGUCAUCACAAUGGUGAUAGCCUAUCAUGGAUGUUGUCACACUUAUCAGAACCCACUUUUGACUUUGAUUAAAUUUUUGGUCCCCAUUCUUGCUCAAGAUUUACUUGAAUUUGAAUCAUAAGCUAUCUUUUCAACCCUUGGGCUUGUACAGCAUACCCUAGGUGCAAUUUUAGAAAUUUUCCAAGUUUGAACUUGGUUCAAUCACAUUGGGGACUUGAGUUAGCUUUCAUUCAGCAUAUAUCACAAGAAAAGAAGUGUUGAAGUAAAGUAUACCUAAUGGAGCUUUUAAUCUAGUGCCACACACAAGAAAAAGUAUGAAGGAAGUAGAUGUUCUUGAUUCUUAAGUGCAAACCACAUACUAAUUAACCUUUUUUUGCUUAGAGUUUUUUUCCGAGAAUGGAAACUAUUUUAACUAAGGAAAAAAAACACUAAAGAAUAAAAAGUUAAAAGUGGUGGAAAUUCGAAAAGGCUCGCGAUUUGGGCAUGGUCGGAUCUAAUUAAAAUUAGCCCCUGUUUUCAUAUUUUAGGCUUUGUUCUGACGAUGAUUUCUGACGGCUUGUUACGAUUGUGAUAGCCCGUCAAGAUCAUCAUCAAUAGUAGGCAGAGAAUUUCUCAAGUCUGAUCUAGCUGAUGGCAUUCGUGAUUGCUUAUCACAGUUGUGACAGCUUGUCACGGAUGUUGUCAUAACCUUCCAGCUGACCCUUUUCAUUUUUUCACUUUCUCUAUACUAAAUCCUAAUUUAAAAAAUAAAAACAGUUGUUCAAACAUAAAAAUUUUUGGUUGCCUCCCAUUAGCGUCUGGGUUAUUGUUACGGAACGACUGGGUUCUUUUGACUACUCAGAAUUUGCCAAGACAACCUCUUGAUACCCCUUUUUCAUCCUCAUAGAAGACAUCAACAAUUGAGAAGACAUUCAUAUCAUUUUUUUGUGACAUAGGUUGAUGCAUUUUGAAUUUUGCCUCCUUUUUACCGAGCCUAAAGUUAAUCUCAUUCAACUCCAUGUCAACUAUUACUCUUUCUAUUUCUAAGAGUGGCCUUCCUAAGAUAAUGGGUACCUCAAAGUCCAUAUCACAAUUCAAUACCACAAAAUUAGCAGAAAGAAUAAAGUCUUCUACUUUUACCAGCACAUCGUGCAAAAUUCCAACAGGCCACUUUAUUGACCUAUCUGUCAUCACCAGUCGCAUGUUAGUAGGUGCUGGAUCUUCUAAACCCAGCUUCUUACAUACAGCAAGUGGUAUCAGAUUCAAGCUGGCACCCAAAUCACAUAAUGCCUUUGCAACAUCCAGAGACCCAACCUUACAUGGAAUAGUGAAUGCACCUGGGUCGGCCAUUUUUUGCACUAAGAAUCGUGUGGAAAUUGCGCUACAAUGGUGGAGAUUGUCCACCUGCUCAGUGCUGACCUUCCUCUUCUUUACGAUGAGGUCUUUCAUGAACUUGGCAUAGCUUUGCAUUUGCUCAAGUUCCUCAACCAAAGGUACAUUAAUUGUCAAUUGCUUGAGCAUAGCCAUGAACUUGCCAAAUUUUGCCUCAUCAACCUUUUUCUACAAUCAUUGAGGAAAGGGAGGUGGAGGCCUAGGGAUAGUCUUUAACUCCACUUCCUCCUCCUUCUUAUCUUUUUUCUCCAAAAUAUCAACAAAACCAUCUAGCUUUUCACACUCCACUGGACUACUUUCUUUAGGUUCAUCAAUACUUACCUUGUUUUCCAGAGAUUUGCCCACAGAGGGGUCAUAUAACAACUUACCACUUCAAGUGAUAAUCGCCAUACAUGAACAACCAUUUUGUGGGUUUUGAACUGUAUCACUAGGUAAAGUACCAAUUUUUCUAUAGUUCAGUGUAGCAAAAAGUUAGUUCAUCUGUUGUUCCAACUGCUUAAUAGAAGUAAAGUGUGAGCUAACCAACUAACUGAGGGUAAAGAAUUCACUCUUUAAAGUAGUUACUCCCGAGUUGGUAGCUUUAACUCCCUUCAACAACUUUUCCAUCAUGUCCUUCAAAGACAUCUUACCAGAGCUAGUUGUUACAGCAUCCCUACUUCCAGGAGGAACAUACAAACCACUCCUGUCACUAUUAUUUCUCUAGUGUCCCUGCUCCCUAUAUUUAUAAUUAGGCUUGUCAUAGAAGUUUCGACCUUGGUUCCAUUGGCUAUUUCAUCGGAAACCCCGCUGAUUACUCACAUAGUUUGUCUCUAUAUCGGCACCUAUAGCAAUAGUACCUUGAGAUUCCACAGCCUUAACUAUUUCGGUCUUGUCUGACAGCAAGUGCUUGGUCAGAAAGUCUAUUUGUGUCAUUAAGUGGGCCAUGUCCUGGUCUCGCUCCUCAUCCUUUCUUCACUACUCUACAGUUACACCACAGGCAACAGUCGGGCUAGCUACUACAGAAUCUCUAUUCUGCCAUGCCUGACUCUGCUUAGUCAUUCUAUUCAGUAUAUCAGAAACAUCAAAGAAAAAGAUAUCAAUAAACAAACCACCUGCAGCAUUGUAUACAAUUGUCUUUGUCAUAGAGUUGAAAGCUCUGUACAAAGUUUACUUCAUGUGCAAGUCCGUCAUUUUUUGGUUUGGACAUUGUGCAAGCUUCUUCUUAAAUCUCUCCCAAGUUUCAUACAAUGCUUCAGUUGGGAGUUGUCUAAAGUUACUGAUUUCAUCCCUCAACUGUACCCUUCUUAAGGGUGGAAAGAACCAUUCUAGGAACACCUCUUUCAACUGUCUUUAGUUGGUUAUAGAAUUAGGGUCUAGCUCAUUUAACCACAUUGUUGCCUCUCCAGACAGAGACAAAGGGAACAAUCUCAACCAAAUCGCAUUCUGGCUCACUCUUGGAUUGUCAAAAGAUUUGCAAACAGUGAUGAAGUUCACCAAAUGCAUUUUCAGGUCAUCACCAGGUAAGCCUCCAAAUAACCCUUUCAGAUUCAGGAGUUGGAUCAUGGUGCUUGUUAUGCUGAAUUUUGCAACUGGUACCAAUGGUAGAGGAGUGUUAGUACCCAUUGCACCAGCUCCAUCCAUUCCUUCAUCAUCUUCAUUAGGCUUGUAUUAAAUAGGUUGUUGGUCAUACCUUCCUCAAAUUGGACGGUUUCUAUUGAUAUUUUGCUGCACUGGUGCAGAAAGUUGCUCAGCUUGCCUUGGGUUUUGAGGAUUUAGCAAUUCCUCAUCACCCAAGUCUUCUUUAUCAGGGUUCUGGUGAUGUGCUUGUUGACCCAAAAUCUAUACGUUAACUUGAUCCCUGGCCAAAGCAGCUAGUCUAUCCGCCUCCUGUUGUUCAGCCAUUUUCCCUAUCAGUUGAGAUUUUAGAUUGAUUAAAAAUAACGUUUCUCUGAAACUUCUUAUUUUUGGCAUAAAAACACAGUACCUACAAUAGACAAAAACAACAAAUAAAUAUAAAUCCAGAAAACUUAACUAAUAGCAAAUUAGCAUACACAAACUUUAAGUUUACAACAGUAUUCACCAGCAGUGGCGCCAUUUUUGAUAAUGCUCAAACUACACUCUUGAACGGGUGUAAGAAAUCGCUCUCAAUAUAAAACCCAACUAGUUUGGGGUCAAAUCCCACAAGGAAUAAGGUGUGAACUCAAGUUGUUUACGAAAUAAUUCACUUGUAGUUUACUGUUUCCUGAAAUGUGGGUUUAAAUUUCUUAUACUAUUAUUAGUCACUUUGAGAUUAAUGUUUGUAAUCAAUAUUUUUUGAGAUAACGGGGAUUAUGUUCACUAAGGUUUAUGGUAUAUGUCAGAUGCUACAAUAACUCAAGGUUCUCAAGAUGGUUAGGAUGACAAGCUAUCUCUAUCGAUAGUAUCAUUGAAUGUCUCUCCACCUAUUCAAGCGUCUACUUUCCUAAUUCUGUCGGAGUUAGGGAAUCAUAACUCACUACCCAGAUUUUACCUCAGGUUAAUAAACCUUGUUACAGUGCAGAUUAUUAAACGAAGCCUUUUCGAGUCCCUAUCGAUAAUUCACUUCCCACUGUUUAUGAUUUCUUUCUCAAGCAAAUCAAAGUAGGUAUGCCUAUUGUUUUCAACCAAUAGACAUAAGUUAGAAUAUCAGAAUUACCAAGAAAUCCUAACACCUAUUAAACCUUGAGUAGUUCAUCAACACCUUAUCAUGACCUAACCCUACAUUCCAUAACCCAGGUUAAGAGUGUUUAGCUACUCAUUAAGUAGAAAAUAAGCACACAAGUUGAAUUCAUAAUUUAAAGUAUUAACUUACAAUAAUGACAGAAAUCAAAAGUGUUCUUUCAAUUGAAUCACAAGGCAAACCACCAAAAUAUUUGUCUGAGAGAGAGAGAGAGAGAUGAAAAAGUCAUUUGUGGUAUGAUAUGUUAAUUAAUUGAUGGAUAAUAGAAAAAACCUAAAACAAGGAUUUAAAUAGUUAACCUUAAAUAAGAAAAUAAAAUUAAAGUUUUAGAUAUUCUUUAGAAUAGAUGACGGCGAUUGUGACG
This 8522-nucleotide long non-coding RNA is filed under the name Capsicum annuum. RNAcentral's name for it is "long non-coding RNA (CANN_LNC006690)". The record is from RNAcentral. Lineage: Eukaryota; Viridiplantae; Streptophyta; Magnoliopsida; Solanales; Solanaceae.